This 408-nucleotide long non-coding RNA is filed under the name Panax ginseng (ginseng). RNAcentral describes it as "long non-coding RNA (PGIN_LNC012558)". Lineage: Eukaryota; Viridiplantae; Streptophyta; Magnoliopsida; Apiales; Araliaceae. The record is from RNAcentral.
GCUUUCAAAGUUUCUAUGAUAUUCUAAUGAAUAAUCAAGAAUCAAUUCUACACAAUAACAAAGUGGAAUGUUUUCCAGAUUUAUGUUGAGUGAUCACAAAGGAUCAAGAACUUCUCUUCUCGGGUAUCUAUCAAAAAUUUACUUUGAUAUAUACUCAGGUGUAUCAUAUAACCAUAAAGAUUAAAUCAUACCCCUCUGCAAGUACUUAGAGCGACCAACUCCUUGUACCCUAUAUUAUGCAUAAUACUUAAUCGCGCGCAAUAGACGAAUAUACGACCAAUAAAAUGUUCCCUUUAUAUAAAAGGUUGUUGUUCUCAGUCUCAGAAUUAAGAUUUGAUUUAACAACGAAAUACUAUGAUUUCAAUUUUCUAAUUACUUCUCGAUCUAGCCAAAAUAAUUGCCAUCGAU